AAAUUGAAGAGUUUGAUCAUGGCUCAGAUUGAACGCUGGCGGCAGGCCUAACACAUGCAAGUCGAACGGUAGCACAGAG
RNAcentral lists this ribosomal RNA (79 nucleotides) under Citrobacter freundii. Its description in RNAcentral is "partial 16S ribosomal RNA". It matches the Rfam family "Bacterial small subunit ribosomal RNA", at positions 1 to 79 of the family's 1533-position model. RNAcentral also lists the same sequence under 18 other names. Lineage: Bacteria; Pseudomonadati; Pseudomonadota; Gammaproteobacteria; Enterobacterales; Enterobacteriaceae. The record is from RNAcentral.